This 247-nucleotide ribosomal RNA is filed under the name uncultured bacterium. RNAcentral describes it as "partial 16S ribosomal RNA". It matches the Rfam family "Bacterial small subunit ribosomal RNA", at positions 524 to 768 of the family's 1533-position model. The record is from RNAcentral.
UACGAAGGGGGCUAGCGUUGCUCGGAAUCACUGGGCGUAAAGGGUGCGUAGGCGGGUUUUUAAGUCAGGGGGUGAAAUCCUGGAGCUCAACUCCAGAACUGCCUUUGAUACUGAAGAUCUUGAGUCCGGGAGAGGUGAGUGGAACUGCGAGUGUAGAGGUGAAAUUCGUAGAUAUUCGCAAGAACACCAGUGGCGAAGGCGGCUCACUGGCCCGGUACUCGACGCUGAGGCGCGAAAGCGUGGGGAG